AUAUCUCUCUGUACGGGAAGGAUGAGAAGCUUCUACCAGGGUUCGAUUCGAGCGCAGCGAGAAAGCGUUGCCGCAGGCAACGACCCGAAGGGCGAAGCGCGCAGCGCUGAGUCAUC
This 116-nucleotide small RNA is filed under the name Salmonella enterica subsp. enterica serovar Heidelberg. RNAcentral describes it as "partial RtT sRNA". It matches the Rfam family "RtT RNA", at positions 1 to 115 of the family's 130-position model. From Rfam's summary of the family: This family represents a bacterial cis-regulatory element known as RtT RNA. The exact function of RtT is unknown although it is thought that it may be involved in changing the cellular response in relation to amino acid starvation. Lineage: Bacteria; Pseudomonadati; Pseudomonadota; Gammaproteobacteria; Enterobacterales; Enterobacteriaceae. The record is from RNAcentral. RNAcentral also lists the same sequence under 17 other names.